CCGCGAACCCCCUUAAUAAUAACUUUAUUGACUGCAAGAACAUGUGUUAUCAGCUCCUGGACAGACACACAUUUAAAAUCUGAAAAUUAGUUUAAUAUAUUUACCAAAUUUUAUGUUCAGAUAUUUUAUAUUAACUACAAGAAGUAGAUUCAUUUAUUAUUGUCUGUUACUUUUUAACACUGUUAUGCUAUAUCAGUACUGUGCC
Molecule: long non-coding RNA, 205 nt
Filed under: Mytilus galloprovincialis (Mediterranean mussel)
Lineage: Eukaryota; Metazoa; Mollusca; Bivalvia; Mytilida; Mytilidae
Source: RNAcentral